Molecule: transfer RNA, 58 nt
Filed under: Rattus norvegicus (Norway rat)
Lineage: Eukaryota; Metazoa; Chordata; Mammalia; Rodentia; Muridae
Source: Rfam by way of RNAcentral
UGGCUCAGCGGUUAAGAGCACUGAUUUAUCUUCCAGAGGUCCUGGGUUCAAUUCCCAG